CCGACUAAAACACUCGACUCCUUCGAGGAAACUGACACAAACAUUACCUUUGUACGGCAGGGAGUUGCUGAUUCGUAUUUUCACCGUCCCGCUGAUAGACUCCCCCGGACUGUAAACCACCUUGUUGUUGGCGAAAGUAAUGUCAAAUUCUUGAAGCUUGCCCAUGACGGCGCUCCGCUACUCUCGCCUUGGGGACGCGAUGCUUGGCGCUCACCUGCUGCUAUUUUGCAUCACCAUACCCUCGGCUGUCAAAGAUCCUGGAAUGGGGGCCUGAGACCGAUGUCUCCAUGACAACAGACGAACACAAUGGUUGCCAGGGCUCCGUGCAUGAAUUCCAUGGACACGUCCUCAUUUUCAUCCAACCACUGCAGCACGAACUGAAGAUACCAUCUACAAAUAGUAAAAACAAAACUUUUACACCAACUCUUACCAAAACGUUAUAUUGAGUGAAUUCAUCCUAUUAGUGGUGUCUUACGAUGGGUAGUCUGGAACAACGUCCUUAAAGCUUGGCAGCUCUUUGACAUAUUCGUUAUAGAGCCACUUCACUUUGAAGUGCAAGUUCAUGUAGUCGGUGCUCUUGCACAGUCUGUGUUUCUCAUGUUCUGGAUGGACAAAGACACAAACGUGUUUUUAUUAGGGCGGUCAAAUGAUUAAUCACCAAUCACCAUUUGCAGCAAUGUUUGAAAUAUGCCUAUCACUGUAUUUUACAAGUAGAACAAAAUAAAUGACAGGACAACGUUGUAUAUAUUUAACCUAUUGUAUGUUUAUGAACAGCUCUGAAUAAUAAAACAUUGAAUUCAAAUGAAAACAUACAACAGUACAAACUAA
Molecule: long non-coding RNA, 828 nt
Organism: Entelurus aequoreus (snake pipefish)
Lineage: Eukaryota; Metazoa; Chordata; Actinopteri; Syngnathiformes; Syngnathidae
Exons: 3
Source: RefSeq, a predicted model, not a curated record